CGGAGCAGUCGGCCGCCUCCCUCCGCGCGCUGGACGCUCCGCUGCCGCCGCCGCCCGCCUGCCCGCCGCACCGCAGGUCAGUAAUUCAGCAAGGGAGAGUGGAUGGCUCGUUCACUGACAGGUCUAGCAGUUGAUCCCAGCUGGUGGCUGGGGAACUGUUCAGCUGGCACGUACACAUGGGGCCUCUCCAUGUCACCUGGGCUUCCUCCCAACAUGGCGACUAGAGUCUAAGCAGGGCACCUGUGUGUGAUACAUGGUGGAGAUGACAAUGACAAAAACGUCAGGGAGCCUGGAUCCCUGAGUCACCACCUGGAGGAGAACCAUCCAAUCCAUAAUGACUUUACUCCAAAUUCAUUGCCUCUAGACAUGUGUGAGACUGCAGUGUUCAGGAUACGAAGGCAGGGGCAUGUGUCACUGUAGUCCAGACACCAUAAAUGCCAACGUGAGGAUUAAAGACCAGCUGCAAGGGGAUUUCAAAAGCUCCAUCGAAUCCCAACACUUUUCUCAAGACACAAUUUAUCUUUGUCUGUGAAAGGAGGGCUAUUUUGACAACAAUUAGACCCCAAAAGUAACUGUGCACAUGAGCUGGGUUGUCUCCCUUGGAGAAGAAUCUGGGAAGAUUCUGGAUGGUUCUGGAUGCAGGGGGUUCACUCUGGAAUAGUAACCACCAACACCACCCUCUCCACGUCUCCUGCCUGAAACUAGCAGCAAGAGUCCCUGCCCACGGCUCGAAUGUGGAUUGUCACCAGGAACGGUGGCUUCUCCAGAAUGGCCAAUGCUCCAGAGUCCAUGUCCCACCUGGGGAAGCAGACUUCGAUGCUCAAGAAGUCACCGUGGUGGGACCUGGGGCCACAUCCACCAUGCAAAGUGUCCCUGGGAUCUGGGGCACAAGGAAUCCUCACUGGAUCUCACAGGCUGUCCUUCCCCAACUUCCUUUUUUUUAUUCCUCCAUCAGAGCAAGUCAACUGUCUCCACACUUGCUCUAAAAACAUGUUUAACGUGCACUGACAGCCCACUCUGACACGGGCAUUGUUAUUCCAUUUUACAGAUGAAGAAACUGAGCCUGGGAAGUUAUCGAGAGCCAUGACCAUCUUGGAAGAGACCAGCUCAUCUCAGAAGUGAUCUCGCUGGGAAAGGCCGUUAUUUUCCACCAGGCCACGGGGCCCACUUUGCAUCCACAAGGAGAAGCUUGUGUAGUUGGGCUCCCCUCCUGCCUUGUGUUGUCUGGACCCUGGGGCCAGUCUUAUUUUGCAUGAACAGAGUUGUCCUGGUCCCAGCGAUCCUUUGCUGGUGUGGAGACUGGAAGUCAGAGCCCAAGGUCCACCAGGCACGGGAGCUCGUGGAGACGGUUGUGCUCAGGGCAUGGGGUCUGGGGAUGGCGCAGCUUUUUCUAUAGAAAAGUGCAUUCUGUCUUCUGCAUGGUCUAUGGUAACCAACCUUAGCUUUGUCUUGCUUUGUUUUUUUCUCUUCAGCCUCCGGAAGAGUGUCUGUUCAACAUAAAGAAUAAAGCAUGAAAUACCUUGAACUCUUAGACUAACUCCCGAGGCUGCAGACCAGCAGGAGAGAAGUGAGGGCAGCUACCUGGUGUCUUCGGGCUGAGAAGAGGUCCACUGGGGAGCCUUGGACAAACCAGAACCACAGCAGCUCGGGGCCCGUCUUCCUUCUCCAGACGCAGCUCUCCCCUUGCUCGACAGCGUUCGACUUUGGCCAUUCCUUCCAGGGGCCAGCACGGCACUGACCACCGCAGGCCCUCAGGGGAUGUGACUGGAAUCAAAGGAUUGCCUGCCUAAUCCAUUUCCUUUGUUUAUCACUCUGGAAUUUCACCCACAAGUUGAAAAUGAAGCUGACUGUAGUUCAGUUGAAAGAUGUCCUCUUGAGAUGGGGAAGUGGCAUACAGGAACGCUGGUAACAUGGGUCCACGAUGGAGAUUUCUGUUUACUCUUUAAGAAGCUGGACUCCAUCACUGGGGCACCCACUUGUCCAAGAGAGUGAGUUUGCCUUUAAGAAACAAAAUCCUGGGCUUCUCUGGUGGCGCAGUGGUUGAGAAUCUGCCUGCCAAUGCAGGGGACACGGGUUCGAGCUCUGGUCUGGGAAGAUCCCACAUGCCACGGAGGAACUAGGCCCAUGAGCCACAACUACUGAGCCUGCGCGUCUGGAGCCUGUGCUCCGCAACAAGAGAGGCCGCGAUAGUGAGAGGCCCGCACACCGCGAUGAAGAGUGGCCCCCGCUCGCUGCAACUAGAGAAAGCCCUUGCACAGAAACGAA
Long non-coding RNA from Balaenoptera acutorostrata (minke whale), 2265 nucleotides. RefSeq lists it as uncharacterized. The record is from RefSeq and is a predicted model, not a curated record. NCBI's taxonomy places the organism in Eukaryota, Metazoa, Chordata, Mammalia, Artiodactyla, Balaenopteridae. The transcript has 8 exons.